CUUUCUUUGCUGGCGACCGGCGCACGGGUGAGUAACACGUAUCCAACCUGCCCUUUACUCGGGGAUAGCCUUUCGAAAGAAAGGUUAAUACCCGAUGGCAUAAUGAUUCCGCAUGGUUUCAUUAUUAAAGGAUUCCGGUAAAGGAUGGGGAUGCGUUCCAUUAGGUUGUUGGUGAGGUAACGGCCCACCAAGCCUUCGAUGGAUAGGGGUUCUGAGAGGAAGGUCCCCCACAUUGGAACUGAGACACGGUCCAA
This 254-nucleotide ribosomal RNA is filed under the name uncultured bacterium. Its description in RNAcentral is "partial 16S ribosomal RNA". It matches the Rfam family "Bacterial small subunit ribosomal RNA", at positions 79 to 334 of the family's 1533-position model. The record is from RNAcentral.